GAUGAACGCUGGCGGCGUGCCUAAUACAUGCAAGUCGAGCGAACGGACGAGAAGCUUGCUUCUCUGAUGUUAGCGGCGGACGGGUGAGUAACACGUGGAUAACCUACCUAUAAGACUGGGAUAACUUCGGGAAACCGGAGCUAAUACCGGAUGAUAUUUUGAACCGCAUGGUUCAAAAGUGAAAGACGGUCUUGCUGUCACUUAUAGAUGGAUCCGCGCUGCAUUAGCUAGUUGGUAAGGUAACGGCUUACCAAGGCAACGAUGCAUAGCCGACCUGAGAGGGUGAUCGGCCACACUGGAACUGAGACACGGUCCAGACUCCUACGGGAGGCAGCAGUAGGGAAUCUUCCGCAAUGGGCGAAAACCUGACGGAGCAACGCCGCGUGAGUGAUGAAGGUCUUCGGAUCGUAAAACUCUGUUAUUAGGGAAGAACAUAUGUGUAAGUAACUGUGCACAUCUUGACGGUACCUAAUCAGAAAGCCACGGCUAACUACGUG
Molecule: ribosomal RNA, 497 nt
Filed under: uncultured bacterium
Lineage: Bacteria
Description: partial 16S ribosomal RNA
Rfam family: Bacterial small subunit ribosomal RNA
Source: RNAcentral